UACGGGGGGAGCAAGCGUUGUUCGGAUUUACUGGGCGUAAAGGGCGCGUAGGCGGCCAGCACAAGUCAGUUGUGAAAUCUCCGAGCUUAACUCGGAACGGUCAACUGAUACUGUGCGGCUAGAGUGCAGAAGGGGCAACUGGAAUUCUUGGUGUAGCGGUGAAAUGCGUAGAUAUCAAGAGGAACACCUGCGGCGAAGGCGGGUUGCUGGGCUGACACUGACGCUGAGGCGCGAAAGCCAGGGGAGCGAACGGG
This 254-nucleotide ribosomal RNA is filed under the name uncultured bacterium. RNAcentral describes it as "partial 16S ribosomal RNA". It matches the Rfam family "Bacterial small subunit ribosomal RNA", at positions 524 to 776 of the family's 1533-position model. The record is from RNAcentral.